RNAcentral lists this ribosomal RNA (115 nucleotides) under Jaculus jaculus (lesser Egyptian jerboa). The record is from RNAcentral. Lineage: Eukaryota; Metazoa; Chordata; Mammalia; Rodentia; Dipodidae.
GUCUAUGGCCAUACCACCCUGAACAUGGCCCACCUCACCUGAUCUUGGAAGCUUAGCAGUUCAGGCUCAAUUAAUACGUGGAUGAGAGAAUUCCUGACUAGAAAAUUUCUAGAUU